ACUAAAUUAGUUUAAUUAAGAACAUUAGAUUGUGGUUCUGAUAGUAAGGGUUUUAUUUAGUA
RNAcentral lists this transfer RNA (62 nucleotides) under Cipangopaludina ussuriensis. RNAcentral's name for it is "tRNA-His". It matches the Rfam family "tRNA". Rfam says of the family: Transfer RNA (tRNA) molecules are approximately 80 nucleotides in length. Their secondary structure includes four short double-helical elements and three loops (D, anti-codon, and T loops). Lineage: Eukaryota; Metazoa; Mollusca; Gastropoda; Architaenioglossa; Viviparidae. The record is from RNAcentral.